AGGCCCUUCGUAUAAUGGUAGUACAUCGGUUUCCAAAACCGCUAGCGUGGGUUCGAUUCCUACAGGGCCUGCCA
RNAcentral lists this transfer RNA (74 nucleotides) under Candidatus Peregrinibacteria bacterium. Its description in RNAcentral is "tRNA-Trp". It matches the Rfam family "tRNA". Rfam says of the family: Transfer RNA (tRNA) molecules are approximately 80 nucleotides in length. Their secondary structure includes four short double-helical elements and three loops (D, anti-codon, and T loops). Further hydrogen bonds mediate the characteristic L-shaped molecular structure. tRNAs have two regions of fundamental functional importance: the anti-codon, which is responsible for specific mRNA codon recognition, and the 3' end, to which the tRNAs corresponding amino acid is attached (by aminoacyl-tRNA synthetases). tRNAs cope with the degeneracy of the genetic code in two manners: having more than one tRNA (with a specific anti-codon) for a particular amino acid; and 'wobble' base-pairing, i.e. permitting non-standard base-pairing at the 3rd anti-codon position. The record is from RNAcentral. RNAcentral also lists the same sequence under 1 other name. Lineage: Bacteria; Candidatus Peregrinibacteriota.